Molecule: small nuclear RNA, 107 nt
Filed under: Cervus elaphus hippelaphus
Lineage: Eukaryota; Metazoa; Chordata; Mammalia; Artiodactyla; Cervidae
Also listed under: 1 other name
Source: RNAcentral
GUGCUCGCUUCAGCAGCACGUAUACUAAAAUUGGAAAGAUACAGAGAAGAUUAGCAUGGCCCCUGCACCAGGAUAACACACAAAGCCAUGAAGCGUUCCGUAUGUUU